UCACCAUCUCUUUCCUCCUGAGUCUGGGUGCUCCAAGCCGGUUCCAAGCGAGACGGGGCCGCUAUGCAGACGACGCUGGGCGAGGCGGCGGCGAUCUCCGGCCAGAUCCGGUCGGGGAGGCGAGGCAGGGGCCGGAUCCUGUUCCGGGGACGGCGUGGAGUCGAUCUACGAGGCACGGGAGGAGGUCAGGCGGUGGGGCUUGAACUCCAGCGGGCCCCCUUUUGAUGGACGGGGCCGCCCACAUCGCCAGCGACUCCCCGGAGGCCGACAGGGCCUCCUCCUCCGCAUCCUCUACCGGCUCGGCCUCCUGGCGCUCCCGGCCGCACAAGUUGAUUCACCUGCGGCGGCGCCGGCGACCGUUGUCCGCUCGGAGAGGAGAGGGCGGCGAAGCCGACGGCAAGGGCGACGGUGACGACGUGCAGGACCUCGCUCUGCCGCUGGGGAGAUGUCCUUCGCGGCGGUUCUCGCCCAGGUGAGCGUCUCCUCGGGUUUGGCCACUGCUCUUGUUCCUUAAUUGGUAGGCGGCCCAAAGAUUUGAUUUUUACGCCCCUCGUGCGGUUCUGUGGAUUAGUGCCUUGCUUCAUGGUCCCUCGAUUGCUAAUUGAACGACGGCCGGCAGCUAGCUGAUGUGGUGGCCGGUCUCUGGCUCGCGAGCGUCGUGGUGCUCGAAAACUCAAAUCCCUCGAGUGGUGAAAACUCCGCAUCAUGGACGACAGGUCGAGCGCCCGCGGCAGCCAGCCGUCAUACAACCCAUGCGGAAGAAGACGAUUGUGUUUCCGUGGUUGGUGAAGGGGCUGGUGUCAUCGUGCCUGUCAGCGUAGUUGUUGUUCUGAGAAUUUCCAUGAUAAGCAAGCAGUGAAUCUGUCUUGGCUGCAGAUAAAAACUGUUGCAGCGGUAUAUGGAUUCGAAGUGAUGAGUGCCCAUGAUUAUGUUGUAGUACAUGCCUUUGGAAAACCAUGGCCAGUGUUGUUUCCACCGAACCGGGUCCUCUCUCCGCUGUUCCGAUCUAAUGUCGACUGCGUGCUGUUGGCUUCCCGUGCACAAGGUCCUACCGGCGGCAUUGGGCACCACGUGGGAAGCGGAAGGAGGAGCCGCAACUCUCCAUGCAAGCUCGGGUCAAUGUCAUCGCAAGUUCCGUGCUCGACGUUGCUGUUCAAUCUCGCCUCAGCUGAUUUCGCCCGCCGUCCGCCCAAUGCUCCACACUUCGCCGUAACUCAAUCUGCCGGUUCUCCGCUUGAGGUUAUCAUAUGACAGAACGUCUGGGGUGAAAGCUAAGCUACUUCCAAUGGUCCCAAAUGAGAAGGCAAGAAGGUAUCAGCUGUAUGAGAAGACCCCCGCCCAUUCCAUUCUCUAUGAAGUCAAAAGUUUCCCACUGAAUAUAUUUGGUACUAAAACGGUCGUUAUGUCAGCACCACGAUCGCGUGCCUAUUGUUGGCUCUUAAUUCUUUAGGAUUAUUUGAUUUGUUUGAUUCAUUCUGUUCAUAUUUAUGCAGCAACAAAAUACAUUCAAGAUCAGGGUGUGUGAGGGUUAAACAUGUUCAUUUAUGUGGCAUCAAGCUAUGUAUGUUGAUAGCAUGAUCUCCUUUUCUUUUGCUUUGCAGAAUUAUUCUCGACACUGGAGAUAUAUGCUAAUCCUCUAGCUUUGCUAAUUUUAUCUUUUGAUUUCAUUUCAGUGGUGUAGUAUUGCACCUCAUUCACAGUUGUAGAUGUGUGUCAAGAUAUCAAAUCAUCCGUCUUUUAGGUCAACGGCAUGCCCAUCGUGGUACACCCCUAGAUUUAAAUGACUCUAAAGUCCAUGGUCCACCUAAUAAAGAUAGAAAUAAUUAUGUUGGUAAGGUGGGUUAAACCCAACUUAAGCUCACACUGUUUUUAUGUUCUCUUACACCUGCAGGUAUUAUUAAACAAUAUCCUAACUGAAUAUCAAACACAUUGCUGGCUACAUGAUAUGUAAAGUAAAAUGUAUGUUGCUACUAAAAUUUAUAUCCGAAUGAUGGUGGCCAUUAUCUAUUUUUAAGCAAACAUAUCUCCCAAGUUUGACAAAGGUUUCCUUCA
RNA transcript from Triticum aestivum (bread wheat), 2052 nucleotides. RefSeq lists it as uncharacterized. The record is from RefSeq and is a predicted model, not a curated record. The transcript is spliced from 3 exons. NCBI's taxonomy places the organism in Eukaryota, Viridiplantae, Streptophyta, Magnoliopsida, Poales, Poaceae.